AGAUUAAGUUAUUAAGGGCGCACGGUGGAUGCCUUGGCACUAGAAGCUGAUGAAGGACGUUACUAACGACGAUAUGCUUUGGGGAGCUGUAAGUAAGCUUUGAUCCAGAGAUUUCCGAAUGGGGAAAC
This is a ribosomal RNA of 128 nucleotides. It matches the Rfam family "Bacterial large subunit ribosomal RNA", at positions 1 to 127 of the family's 2925-position model.